UACGUAGGGGGCAAGCGUUGUCCGGAAUCAUUGGGCGUAAAGGGCGCGUAGGCGGCCACCGCAAGCCGACUGUGAAAUCUCCGGGCUUAACCCGGAAAGGUCAGCCGAUACUGCGGGGCUAGAGUGCAGAAGGGGCAACUGGAAUUCUCGGUGUAGCGGUGAAAUGCGUAGAUAUCGAGAGGAACACCUGCGGCGAAGGCGGGUUGCUGGGCUGACACUGACGCUGAUGCGCGAAAGCUAGGGGAGCGAACGGG
This 254-nucleotide ribosomal RNA is filed under the name uncultured bacterium. Its description in RNAcentral is "partial 16S ribosomal RNA". It matches the Rfam family "Bacterial small subunit ribosomal RNA", at positions 524 to 776 of the family's 1533-position model. The record is from RNAcentral.